Canis lupus familiaris (dog) is the source of this 4939-nucleotide RNA transcript. It is a transcript of the gene named EF-hand calcium binding domain 5, with no coding region annotated. Lineage: Eukaryota; Metazoa; Chordata; Mammalia; Carnivora; Canidae. The record is from RefSeq and is a predicted model, not a curated record. The transcript is spliced from 24 exons.
GGCCGGUUUAGGUGGGGGAGGGCCGCUGGAAUCCGUACUCCUGAGAGACGACCAUUUUAUGAGGUGGGGGCGCGCGGCUUAGCCGAUCUUAGUGAAAGGAAACGGAGGUGAAAAUCCUGAGGCGAACACGUUGUUGUCUGGUGUUUGUGCAUUUGAAGAAGAGUCACCUCUUCCAGACUUUAUGGAAUGACUUUGUGGCCCAGAUGAGUGAGUCAGCAUUUCAAGAGGAACCUAAACCUGCUCAGGAAAAUGGAAAAGAAGACAAAGAAAACAAACCCGAAGAAACUGAAGUGAAAGAACCUACUGAGAGUUCACAGGGUGUACCAGGCAGUUCUGCAUUAGACACCAGCAGCAAUGUGGCCGAAACAGAAGCAGAUGAAAUCAAAUCCCAAGAAAUACACCUGGAAGGGCAGUCAAAAACUUCAGUUUGUUCAAUAAAGGACUCUAGCACUAGAGUCUCAAAGAAUUUUGUGGUUAGAAAACCUGCAAAAGUGAUCUUCAAUUUAGAUCCAACUGCGCUGAAUUCAAAGCUAGAACAGCCAUGGAAGAAAAAUUUUUUUGAAAGAUUGGAGGCAAAAGCCCAGAAAAUGCAGCAGAAAAUAAUAGAUAAGGAUAACCUGAAUAAAGAACUAGAAAAAAAGGCUGAAAAAAACCUCCCUAGGGAUAAUUUGGCCAAAGAGUGGUUUAAUGCUGAAAGCAUAACAUUGGACAGUCGUGCAUAUUUGCUGGACAAACUUCUACCUACCUUAGUUCCUGGCGUGGAAAAAAUGUUAAUGCAAGUGGAAAAGAAGAAGCUUUGGGCAGAAGGUGAUAUUACAACCAAGUUUAAUCCAAAUAAUCAUUUGGGGGAAUACUUAAUGAGAAACAAUCCUUAUUAUAUAAAAGAUUCAGGAAUGUCUGGUUAUCAAAGAGUGAUGAGGGAUGUCACAGAAGACCUGAAGAUACAUGUUCCCAACACUGUUGGCAACAGAGUAACCAAGAUGAAGGAGAGUAUUAAACAGAAACGAGAACAAAGACAAUUCAUAAAAGAAGUCAAAGUCAGGGUGACCAAAACACGGAAGCAGGCUCUGCAGGAGCAAUUCAGUGAAUGGAUUCUAGACCCCAAAGGAACAAUUCCUAUGGUUGUGAUUCAGAAUGUUCUUCAUGAAUUUUUUCAAAAUCCAGAUUUACAGCUUGAAAUAUGUUGCAAACCAAUGGAUAUUGUUGACUCGAUGGGACCAAGAUUGAACAAAACAGAAUUUAUAGAAUAUGUCUCUUCAUAUGUUGCAGACUUUAAAAAUGAAAUGUUCGAGAAACUCCUUAAGCACUUUUGUCAUUGUGCAGAUGAAUUCCGGGAGGUUAUAAAAACAGACAUGCGGAGGCAGAUAUUUGCUGAACUCUUCCUGCAUUGUGACCAUGGGAAGGUAGGAUUUUUGGAUCGGCAGAGGACAUUGGCUUUGUUGGAAACAUUCUAUGACCAAAGUUCAAAAAUGCUUAGAAGUUUGCUACGAAACCCAAGACAAUGGCCAUUCAUUGAAUUUGAAGAGAUAGAUUUGCCUGAGUUCUGGGGAGACAUGGAUAAUCAGAAACAUAUUUAUGAAGACUUUGACAAAGUGCUCUUAGAGAUGAAUGCACAACUUUCUGAAAAAUAUGCUAGCAAAACCCAAAGCAAAUUGUUAGAAACUCCAGAAGAUCAACAUUAUCAUGAUGAACAUAGUGAAUCAACACUACCAGAACAGCAGAGAGGGACAACUGCAGAACAAGAACGAAACAGAAUUUUAAGCAAGGAACAAGAACAAGGCAGAGAGUUAACUGGAGAAAAAGAACUAGACAAAGACUCAGUAACAGAACAAGAAACCCACACAGGGUCAACUCCAGAACAGGGAUCAAGUAGAGAGUUAAUAAUAGAACAAAGACUACAUAGUGACUCAGUAAUAGAACAAGAGCCACCACAAAGCAUGUCUUCUUCAGAACAAGGAGUCAACAUGGGAACAACUGCAGAACAAGGACUCUACAGAGAAUCAAUAGCAGCACAAGGACAACACAAACGGUCAGACACAGAACAAGGACCACACAGAGGGUCAACCUCAGAACAAGGAUCACGCAGACAGUCAGUAAUAGAACAAGAACCACUCAAAGGGUCAACUGCAGAACAAGAGCCAUCCAGAGAGAUAUUCCCAGAAAGACAACAGGAUUCAACCUUACAAUCAGGAAGAGAUAGUAUUUUCAGAGAAAGUAAAAUAUUUAGGAAUGCUACUUCCUUUGAGUACACUGAAAUCUCCCCACAGAAAGAGAGGACUCAGGAACAAACCUAUGAAAAAGAACUAUUUGUGAGUUCUGAGCUGCAAGAAGAAGUCUCAACAUCACGAAGAAAAGAUCAUCUUUCAGAAACUACAAAAAAGGAAAUUCAGAAAGAUCCAUCCUGUGAAAAGUCCCAAAAAAUAGAAGGAAAGUCAUGGUCAGGUGAACUUCUUACUUGUAACUGGAAGAUGAAUUAUUUCAAAUGUGAAGAUGAGGAGCAAGCCAACUUACUCUACAGUGAUAACAGGUUCACAGACCUACACUCAAUUAUCAGAAAUAUUCAGUCUUACAAGGAAGUAAAAGGUAGAAGUGCUUUCAAUGGAGUUUCCUUCAAUCUGCUCCAGUUUGUGCAACUUUUGGAGACAUUUGUUGGUGAAGAUGUCCCCUUGAGUGUCAGUGAGACUCUCACAACCUUUUUUAAGAGGGGCUAUGUUGAAACAAAAGAAGAGAAAAUAAGUGGCUUAGAACAGACUAGACAAAAUGCUUCCAGAGUCCGACAGGAACUUCUCCUAGAAGCCCUGUUUCAGAAGUGGGACAGUGAUGGCUCAGGCUUCUUGGAUCUGAAGGAAAUUGAUGAACUUUUGUACACAUACAAGGAGGGAAUGGAAAAAGAAUCCAUGAAGAAAGCUAAACUACACAUCCAAUUUCCAAAGCCACAACCUGAUCAAGAAGUGAGACUGUCUUCAAAACAAUUUCAGAAAUACAUAGAAUUGGUUGUCUCUGAACUCAGGGGCAAUGAAGAUCAUGUUCUGGAAAGUAUUGUGGAGUUUCUGGUGAAUACUUUAGAAAGGAGCCAUACUGAGAAUCUGAGGAAUUGUGCCAGACGAAAGUGGCUAUACCAAAUCCAACAUGCUGCAGAGACAAGUGGAGUAUCCCUGGAGCCUGUGUACACUGAAACCUUUAAGGCCCUCACCCAGGAUGCUGAAGCCCAUGGAAAUAAGAAGAUCUGUGCUCAUAUUUCCCUCUUAGAAGAAAACCUACUACUGCCUGAUAGAGGGGAAGUUGUAUUAAGGAACGUAGCUUGUACUUUAGAUGAUGCUCCAUUUGUACUGAACAAAGUGCUCUACAGGGACAUGAAGGGAAUCAGCUUUACAGUAGUGGAUGAAGGUAAGCCAAUACACGUCCCCCAAGUUCAGCACCAUGGGAACGUCUUUUUCUGGAACCAUUCCCUCAAGAAGAGUGAUCAAAAUGGAUCAUUCCUGGCCCUGCCUCUUCAGGAUGCAUACAUGAGGAUCUUUGGGGUCAUGGCUGUGGACACCCUAAGAGAUAAAAAAAAAAUAAACAUCUUUGUACCUCAUGAGAUCAGAUUCUAUCAGGGUGUUGCUAAUGUCUUUAGCACUGCCUAUCACUAUGUCCACAGCAGGGAGCACAUCCUGCAUGUUGUGAUUACUGGCAUUGGCUGGCUCUGUGACAUCACAUCUGACAUCACCGCCAUCACUACAUACUUCAUUGAGCCUGGCCUAAUGCAGGCUUCUUCCUCUCUGAGUGGUUGGACCAAGCUGAUAAGGCCCUGGCCAAAGAGCAGAAUCACAGAGCUCUCUGGCAGAAUGAACAGACUGUGGAGGUGGAGAACGCAUAGUCCCGGAGACUUCCUCUUUAAAUGUACAGACAGUUCCGAAGUUGUCUUGGCCUCUGUCUGUGGAGAAAACCACAUACUAAUUCCACUCCGUGAGAGAACAGGAAAAGCUUUGGGAGUUCUUGAUUUUAACAUUGGCAAGAGUAAAAUGUUAUUGUAUCGAGAAUUUAAAGACCUACAGAAAAUGAUGAAAGUGGUCCAAGCUGCCUGCUACGAAAUACUGGGCGAAUUAUCUGGAGAAAUAAAGAAAAACUAUAUCCUAGAGAUUGAAAAUGUAGGAGAAGUCCAGCGGGCAGGAGUUCUCUUUUUCCGAAUCAUGCUACAAGAGCUGCAAGAAAGCCUCCGAUUGCUUACCUCCAUAGACUUUGUAUCACUGUUGAUCUAUGAUUAUCAUAUUCCAGCAGAGUCCGUAUCUCUACCAGACAGCAAGACCCAGGAGUUGGAAGCCAACAUAAAGCUAGUACAGGACAUCCUGAUAGGGGUUAUUUUGUUCAUCCAUCCAGAGUUGGAAUUAUCAAGUGAGUUUGGAAAUUGGGAGAAGUGUAAACUGGUAAGUUUUUAAAAGUACUCUCUUUACUGAAGAAUAACACACACAGGUUUCGGUCUACCAAUAAUAAUUGUACAAAUCCUAAAUGUACAAAUGCAAGGAUUUUCAUACAAUGAACAUUUUUAACCAGCAUCUAGAUCAAGAAACAUUAGCAGCAUCCCCAAAACCUUCCUUUGUAUCCUCUCCCAUACACCCCGCAUCACACAUUCGUACACACACCCACACACACCCCAGAGUGACCAGAUCAGAAUCAUUCCUGACUUCUAACACCAUAGAUUGGUUUUGCCUGUUUUAAAAUGUACAUAAAUGGAAUUAUGUAAACUGGUGAAUUGGGUACUCUACUUCCACUUGCUGGUGCUCCCCCAUCACUUUUGUUCUUUUGUUCACAGUAUGUUAGCAGAUAUUUAGUCGAGAAUAUUUGUGACUUUGAUCCAACUGCUAAGCAUGUGGAAGUUAAUUUACAGCUCAUUGGUGAAUAUAUCAGAGAUUCUAUGCAUCUAUUCAUGAGAGACACACACACAGGGAGAGAGGCAGAC